CCUACGGGUGGCAGCAGUGGGGGAUAUUGCACAAUGGGGGGAACCCUGCUGCAGCGACGCCGCGUGGGUGAAGAAGCGCCUCGGCGCGUAAAGCCCUGUCAGCAGGGAAGAAAAUGACGGUACCUGAAGAAGAAGCCCCGGCUAACUACGUGCCAGCAGCCGCGGUAAUACGUAGGGGGCAAGCGUUAGCCGGAUUUACUGGGGGUAAAGGGGGCGCAGACGGCGAUGCAAGACAGGAGAGGAAGCCCGGGGGCCAACCCCGGGACUGCGGUUGGAACUGCGUGGCGGGAGUGCAGGAGGGGCAGGUGGAAUUCGUGGGGUAGCGGGGAAAUGCGGAGAUAUCAGGAGGAACACUGGUG
This 359-nucleotide ribosomal RNA is filed under the name uncultured bacterium. RNAcentral describes it as "partial 16S ribosomal RNA". It matches the Rfam family "Bacterial small subunit ribosomal RNA", at positions 338 to 714 of the family's 1533-position model. The record is from RNAcentral.